RNAcentral lists this long non-coding RNA (770 nucleotides) under Calidris pugnax (ruff). Its description in RNAcentral is "lncRNA (ENSCPUG00000010744.1)". The record is from RNAcentral. Lineage: Eukaryota; Metazoa; Chordata; Aves; Charadriiformes; Scolopacidae.
GACCGGGGAUGGGGACAGGGUGGCCUCAAUGCCACUGUCACCCCUCCUCCACAGUGGGUGGCCUUGGACUCGCCCUGUCCCCAGGGCUGGUGACCCCGGUGUCACCCUGUUCCCCCCUGUCCCCAGGGCUGGUGACCCCGGUGUCACCCUGUUCCCUGUCCCCAGGGCUGGUGGCUCCGAUGGUGGCCUUGGACCGUCCCCAGUGGCAGCAGGACUCAGCGGGGGAUGGCCCGGUGGCCAAAGUGACAGGCAGUGUCCAUCCGCUGGCGGGGACGAUGGCCGGUGUCUGGCGCAGCGGUGAGUGGGGACACCCUUGGUGGGGAGGACACCAGGGAGGGGACAGAAGGAGCCACCAGGGGACACUGGGGACACAAUGGGGACCCAGUGUCCACCCUGUGCCCCUGUGGGUGCCUUGUCCCCACCGCGAACUGUCCCUGUCCCUGCAGUGGUGGCCUCGGGGGUGGCUGAGGAGGUGACACACAGCCCGGUGACAAAGGACGAGGUGACAUGGGACGAGGUGAGGGGGGUUGGGGACAUGGGUGGGGAUGCUGGGGACACAGGGAAGGGACGUGGGGCACCUGGAGCCAUGGGGAGGUGGCACAAGGAAGGGGUGACAAGAGGGGACACAGGGAGGAGGUGAUAAGGGGGGACUCCGGGCUGGGUGGAGGGGCACUCGGGGACAGGGGUGGCUGCUGUCCCCAUGUCACCCUUUGUGUCACCCCCAGGUCACUUCCUGUGAGGACAGGAUGGGGCACCCCCCCAGCAGAGGU